UAUUGAUGAGUCGCAGCGGAGUGUGACGAUUGACCUGGAAGGUCAAUCGGCCGCGCGUCGAGGUGUUGCCGUUGCUUUGGCUCGACGCUUCAACGA
RNAcentral lists this transfer RNA (96 nucleotides) under Burkholderia pseudomallei. Its description in RNAcentral is "tRNA-Ser(gga)". Lineage: Bacteria; Pseudomonadati; Pseudomonadota; Betaproteobacteria; Burkholderiales; Burkholderiaceae. The record is from RNAcentral.